This 449-nucleotide ribosomal RNA is filed under the name uncultured bacterium. Its description in RNAcentral is "partial 16S ribosomal RNA". It matches the Rfam family "Bacterial small subunit ribosomal RNA", at positions 29 to 523 of the family's 1533-position model. The record is from RNAcentral.
AACGAACGCUGGCGGCAGGCCUAACACAUGCAAGUCGAACGCUGUAGCAAUACAGAGUGGCAGACGGGGGAGUAACGCGUGGGAACCUUCCCAGUGGUACGGAAUAGCUCAGGGAAACUUGAGGUAAUACCGUAUAAGCCCCUAGGGGGAAAGAUUUAUCGCAAUUGGAUGGGCCCGCGUCGGAUUAGCUAGUUGGAGAGGUAAUGGCUCACCAAGGCGACGAUCCGUAGCUGGUUUGAGAAAAUAACCAGCCACACUGGGACUGAGACACGGCCCAGACUCCUACGGGAGGCAGCAGUGGGGAAUAUUGGACAAUGGGCGCAAGCCUGAUCCAGCCAUGCCGCGUGAGUGACGAAGGCCUUAGGGUUGUAAAGCUCUUUUAGCAGGGACGAUAAUGACGGUACCUGCAGAAUAAGCUCCGGCUAACUUCGUGCCAGCCGCCGCAGUAA